CACGGGGGGAGCAAGCGUUGUUCGGAAUCACUGGGCGUAAAGGGCGUGUAGGCGGUUUGGUAAGUGGAAUGUGAAAUCCCUCGGCUUACCCGAGGACCUGCAUCCCAUACUGCCAAGCUUGAGUACGGGAGAGGAUGAGGGAAUUCCUGGUGUAGCGGUGAAAUGCGUAGAUAUCAGGAGGAACACCGGUGGCGAAAGCGCUCAUCUGGCCCGAUACUGACGCUGAUGCGCGAAAGCUAGGGGAGCAAACAGG
RNAcentral lists this ribosomal RNA (253 nucleotides) under uncultured bacterium. RNAcentral describes it as "partial 16S ribosomal RNA". It matches the Rfam family "Bacterial small subunit ribosomal RNA", at positions 524 to 776 of the family's 1533-position model. The record is from RNAcentral.